This 456-nucleotide ribosomal RNA is filed under the name uncultured bacterium. RNAcentral describes it as "bacterial SSU rRNA". It matches the Rfam family "Bacterial small subunit ribosomal RNA", at positions 343 to 791 of the family's 1533-position model. The record is from RNAcentral.
AGGAGGCAGCAGUAAGGAAUUUUGGACAAUGGGCGCAAGCCUGAUCCAGCCAUGCCGCGUGCGGGAAGAAGGCCUUCGGGUUGUAAACCGCUUUUGUCAGGGAAGAAAUCCUUUAGGCUAAUACCUUGGAGGGAUGACGGUACCUGAAGAAUAAGCACCGGCUAACUACGUGCCAGCAGCCGCGGUAAUACGUAGGGUGCAAGCGUUAAUCGGAAUUACUGGGCGUAAAGCGUGCGCAGGCGGUUAUGCAAGACAGAUGUGAAAUCCCCGGGCUUAACCUGGGAACUGCAUUUGUGACUGCAUAGCUAGAGUGCGGCAGAGGGGGAUGGAAUUCCGCGUGUAGCAGUGAAAUGCGUAGAUAUGCGGAGGAACACCGAUGGCGAAGGCAAUCCCCUGGGCCUGCACUGACGCUCAUGCACGAAAGCGUGGGGAGCAAACAGGAUUAGAUACCCCGGU